CCUACGGGAGGCAGCAGUGGGGGAUAUUGCACAAUGGGGGAAACCCUGAUGCAGCGACGCCGCGUGGGCGAAGAAGUAUUUCGGUACGUAAAGCCCUAUCAGCAGGGAAGAAGAAAUGACGGUACCUGCGUCAGAAGCACCGGCUAAAUACGUGCCAGCAGCCGCGGUAAUCCGGAUGGGGCAAGCGUUAUCCGGAUUUACUGGGUGUAAAGGGAGCGCAGGCGGCACGGCAAGCCUGAUGUGAAAGCCCGCGGCCCAACCGCGGGACUGCAUUGGAAACUACCGGGCUGGAGUGCGGGAGAGGUAGGCGGAAUUCCUAGUGUAGCGGUGAAAUGCGUAGAUAUUAGGAGGAACACCAGUGGCGAAGGCGGCCUACUGGACGGUGACUGACGCUGAGGCUCGAAAGCGUGGGGAGCAAACAGGAUUAGAUACCCGAGUAGUC
Molecule: ribosomal RNA, 442 nt
Filed under: uncultured bacterium
Lineage: Bacteria
Description: partial 16S ribosomal RNA
Rfam family: Bacterial small subunit ribosomal RNA
Source: RNAcentral